GAUGAACGCUGGCGGCGUGCUUAACACAUGCAAGUCGAACGGGAUCCCAGGAGCUUGCUCCUGGGUGAGAGUGGCGAACGGGUGAGUAAUGCGUGACCGACCUGCCCCAUACACCGGAAUAGCUCCUGGAAACGGGUGGUAAUGCCGGAUGCUCCAGUUGACCGCAUGGUCCUCUGGGAAAGCUUUUGCGGUAUGGGAUGGGGUCGCGUCCUAUCAGGUAGUCGGCGGGGUAACGGCCCACCGAGCCUACGACGGGUAGCCGGCCUGAGAGGGCGACCGGCCACAUUGGGACUGAGAUACGGCCCAGACUCCUACGGGAGGCAGCAGUGGGGAAUAUUGCACAAUGGGCGCAAGCCUGAUGCAGCGACGCCGCGUGCGGGAUGACGGCCUUCGGGUUGUAAACCGCUUUUGACUGGGAGCAAGCCCUUCGGGGUGAGUGUACCUUUCGAAUAAGCACCGGCUA
This 463-nucleotide ribosomal RNA is filed under the name uncultured bacterium. Its description in RNAcentral is "bacterial SSU rRNA". It matches the Rfam family "Bacterial small subunit ribosomal RNA", at positions 28 to 499 of the family's 1533-position model. The record is from RNAcentral.